GUGUCAGCAGCCGCGGUAAUACGGAGGGGGCUAGCGUUGUUCGGAAUUACUGGGCGUAAAGCGCGCGUAGGCGGACCUGCAAGUCGGGGGUGAAAGCCCGAGGCUCAACCUCGGAACUGCCUUCGAUACUGCGGGUCUCGAGUCCGGGAGAGGUGAGUGGAAUUCCUAGUGUAGAGGUGAAAUUCGUAGAUAUUAGGAAGAACACCAGUGGCGAAGGCGGCUCACUGGCCCGGUACUGACGCUGAGGCGCGAAAGCGUGGGGAGCAAACAGGAUUAGAAACCCCCGUAGUCC
This 292-nucleotide ribosomal RNA is filed under the name uncultured bacterium. RNAcentral describes it as "partial 16S ribosomal RNA". It matches the Rfam family "Bacterial small subunit ribosomal RNA", at positions 505 to 796 of the family's 1533-position model. The record is from RNAcentral.